Molecule: long non-coding RNA, 9175 nt
Organism: Mustela lutreola (European mink)
Lineage: Eukaryota; Metazoa; Chordata; Mammalia; Carnivora; Mustelidae
Exons: 4
Source: RefSeq, a predicted model, not a curated record
CUCUGCCUGCCUCUCUGCCUGCUUGUGAUCUUUGUUUGUCAAAUAAAUAAAUAUUAAAAAACAAAACAAAAACUCAGGGACGGUAACAAAGCGGUACUUUGUGAUGACACCUGAAGAAAGGGAAGGAGAUGAAGUUCACUGGACGUGACUGGAAGUGGGAAGACAAUAGUGUAUUAAUAUGAAACUUGGUAAUUAUAAGAGAAAAAUAAGGAUCCUGUUUUUCCAACACAAAUGCUAUUUUAAGCCAAACUCUAGCUCAUAAAUGCAGAAACCAAAGGGUUAGAAAACCCUCAUCUUGUGAGCCGAAACAGAAUGUGUGUUUCAGAGAGCGGCUGCCAGAGCACGGUGAACCCGGGUAUAAUACUGAUGGCAGCUUCACAAGGAGGGGCCAGCCUGUCGCCUCCAAACCUGCUGAUGAACUUAGUGUCGCUCAAAGCGAGACCAGGUGCAAGCCCCCCGUGGAACGGUGCCGUGUUGCUGAGAUCACACCGUCCGUACAGUCUUGCAGUCAAAAGAUCACCCGUGUCCAGAGCUGUGUGGUUACUGUCCAGUCUCACGGGAAGAGGGGCCCUGGACAUCGAGGUAAAUGUCGCCAGUGGGCUGCGGCGCUCUGUAUGGGGUGGCGACCCAGUCUCGAAGCAGAGUCACUGUCAUGGAGAAACCUGAUGUAGAUUCAGAGACGAAGAGAAAUGACAGCCAAAUACAGUGAGUCGACUUUUGGACAAAACCAGGAAAAAGUAUUUAUUUAUUUAUUUUUUUUUUAGAGAGAGAACAUUCAAGCAGGGAAGGCAGGGGCAGCGGGAGAGAAUCCCCAGCCGGCUCCCUGCUGCUGAGCGCGGAGCCCAAUGUGGGGCUCGAUCUUGUGACCCUGAGAUCAUGACCUGAGCUGAGAUCAAGAUUUAAUUUUUAAAAAUUGAGAUUAUCUAUUUAUUUAUUUGGGAGAGAGAGCACAAGCAGGGUGAGAAGCAGACUCCCCGCUGAGCAGGGAGCCAGGUGGGGACUCGAUCCCAGGACCCUGGGAUCACGGCCUGAGCCGAAGGCAGGCGUCCAACCGACUGAGCCCCUCAGGCGCCCCGAAAUUUUUUAAAAAUAAACUGCAGGGCAGGAAAAAAUGUUACGGUUGGGACCUGCCUUCCGAUUUGAGGAGCUCCUGGUGGUCCUGUCGGUGUGACCAGCAUCAGCUGACGGGCUGACCUCGAUGGUGACAUUAGUUUCCACAGGUGGAAAGGUGUCGUUGCGCUUUCUUUUGGGGGGGUGAGUAGUGCUGAUGGCGGUUCUUCCCUCCUGCCUCCCUCCAGCACAUCUCCUGGAAACGAGAGUUUCCCGAAUCUACGUGACACCACGGAACAGUAGUUUUGACCUUGGCUGCACGUGAAAAUCGUCUGGGGAGCUUUUGAAAAACACCAGUGCUUCAAGGCCAGCCCCAGAGCUCUGCUCUGUCCAUCUGGGCCGGGCCAGGCUCCGUAGUUUAAAGAGGAGUGAAGAGGUAACUUUCCCCCUGAGUCUCCUUUGCAGGCAGCAGCGAGAGCCACGGCCUCAGAGCCAGGCCUGCCCAGCACUUUCCGUGACGGCUCCGAGGCGAGCAUUUCGCGCGUGGCCGGCCGCAGGGCUCUUGCAGACCCGCGGGCCUGAGCCCGUUCCGCGGCCGCAGUGAGGAGACGACGGCCUGUGACUGCGCCUGUGAGACUGUGUCGCGGAAAGCUGCUGGGCUGGGCUUGGCCCAAGGCUGUGGUUUCCUGACGCCGGCUACAGAAGAAAUAAAAACGCUGGUUUCCUGUUUUAUUUAAUAAUGGCGCAGCCUCACGAGAGGCGCUGUGGUCUUGGAACGCAGAGCACGCAGGAUUUGAAGUUAGAAGCUCUGAAUUCAGAUCCUGCUCUACAUUUGCUGUGGAAUCUGAGGGAGGUCGCUUAACCUCUCUGAUCCGUCUGCUUCUGUGAUGGGAGCCACACAGGCCGGUUCUAAAGCUGGAAUAAGGCACGUGUGCGGGCGUUGUAAGUUGUGGGUGUCGGACCCCUACCGCCUGCUCUCAAACGGCUUAUUGCGCAGCAGCUUAUAAAUUUGUGUGUAACAAACAUUAAAUAUUUAAAAGGAAAGCAAAUUAGAAAAUUUGAAUUUAAAUGUGACAUAAACAUGAAGACUGAGGGAAAUGAGUUCUACAUCAUGCAUUUCUAUUUUAAGCCACCAAAGUGAUUUUAGAUUGGUAAAGGCUGCUUUUAAAAGAAGAUGGCGUAAAUAUAUAUUUUUCCAAAAUGGAAUUUUCUAGGGAAAAUUGGUUUUCAUCAUGACGGGGAAAUCUACAACUGUAACGUGCCGGUCGGAAGGUGGGUGCAGGGCGGAGCCCAGAGGAGGUCCAGGAAAAGCCUCCGGGGAAGUCUUUUCGGGAGGGCGGGAACAGAAGCUGGACUCAGGAGGGAGUGGGCUGAGAGGAAACGGGCCACUAGGCGGAGACAGCCCUUUCUACAAGUUUGGCACAAAAGAGGAAAAAAUAGGGUGUAGCCUCAAAGGGCAUCAGGGCGGUGUAGACAUUAUGUCAAAGCAGGGAGGGCGGUGCGUGCAGAGUGGGAAGUGGUGGGACCGGGGACCUGGGACGUGUGCAGCCUAGGGGCAGCCGGGCAGAGUCCAGCGGGCAGGCGGCCAACGCCCUGGGCAGUUGAGGCAGGAGGGGUGCAGUAGGCAUGUGGGGAGCGCAGCUUGGCCAGAGGCGGCGUCUGCUUCCCUCCCUCCCCUCCCGUCACCCCUUCCCGCCAGAGCACGGGAGACCGGCGCUGGGUCGCCAUUGAGCCGAGCCACCAGCUCCUGGGAGCCAGGCCUGUGUGCAGGUUGGGCCCGGCUGUUCAGGGACACUCCGCGGGCAGCCUGUGCGUGUGCUGGGGCGGCCAAGGGGAGGCAACCAAGGUGGGGGGCCACAGCGAGGGCGUUAAAACCCGCCUCCUGCCCACCGGAGCUGAAAGGGACUCAGCCCACAUUCCUCCUGCAUUCCAAGCUGCCUCCCCCUGGGAGCCUGUCCUGACUGCCUCCUCUCCCUCCACAUCUGGUGCUUACACACCAGCGGCCGAGGACCCGAGGGCUCAGCAACCGGCCGUGAGUCCUUGUGCAGACGCUGCCAUGUGGGAGGCGGCGGGAGCUCCUGAGGCACUUGGGCCCCUUGGGGUCCACAGCCUCUAGAGCUGCGGCCAGAGCCGUGGCCGCCCGUGCCUUCUUUCCUCGGGAUGCACCUCCUCACCUCCCUCUUUGUCGGUUUGCCGAUGCCCCGAUGGCCCCUCGGCCCGCCCUCAGCUGCCCCCACCGCAGCUUGGCAGGGGACCUCGAGGAGCCUUCCUCGGAGCCUUCCUCAGCAGCUCGCGCCAUCUGGUCCGCACAACCUGGCCUCAGGGGUCCGGAGACCUGGGUUUGUUUUGGGGGAAGUCCUCGCCCCGUGUUCUUCCAGGACCUCCCCCUGCCUUGGUGGCCCCAGAAAACGACCCAUUCGCUCUUCCCCUUUCCCGUUUUCAGAGCAGUAAAGGUGCUUUGACCUUUCGGGGAGCGCGGUGUGAAGGAAGCCAGAGCUGCGGCCGCAGGGAAUAGGCAGCCGGUCAGGGCUUGUCUGCUGCUGCCCCGACGCCCGGCGGCCCGGGGUCUGGAUGUCCCUGUGGCUGGCUCGAGGCCCUGGAGUGGCCCCUCUGCCGCCGCCCCCCCCGGCCCCCCUGAGGCGCGAACCCUGGGCCGGGGCCAGGCUGGUGCCGCCCACCCCUGCCUGCUUCUCCUUCCUUCGCAGCUUCGAGUUCGGAGGUCCGGGCUCCCUCAGGAAGUGGCGCUCACUGUUCCGCUCCUUCAUGGACGGGAAGCCCUUCCCCGGACGGAAGCCGAAGGAAAGUCCCCCCAAGAGGCUGACCUGGCCAGGAGGCCCUCUCUGUGCUAUGGCCGGGGGACUCCGCGUUCGCUCCUGUCCUCUGUUGUCUGGGCCCGCAUGGAGAAGGCAGGGCCUCGGCGGAAUGAGGGAACCUGGGCGACCUUUCACAGGAGCCAGGUCAGGUACCGAAAACUCAGGAUUUUUCCCUAAACGGAAGCCUGUCUUUUCGGCAAGGACCAGAGGUGCCAUCGGGCAGUUGGUCGUGGGCGAUGGCAAUGAAGGGCCUUGCUGUUCCGUGUAGCAAGCACUGACUGUCUGUAGUCGGCGCGGCCUCGUUCUGGCUGCUGGUGUGAGGCCCAGCCGGGAGCCCCCCCCCCCCGCCCACCGAGCCCCGGCAGCUCCCCUCAGGUGAGGCGGGCCUGUCUGUAGCAGGUGGAGGUGACCUGACCCCGGAGGACCCCACACGAGAGCUAGGACUGUCAGGGCCCAGCAGGGCUUUGUCUGCGAGGAAGUCACAGGGUGACCUCAACCAACGGGCGGUCUGCGUUGGCAGAGUUGGGGGUGACAAGCUAUGUGCAUCAGACCCCACGAGGCCGGGUGUGGGAUGGAGAUUGUGGAAGCCACAAGCUCAUUCUUUGAAGAGAUGAAGGAAAUUGAAAAAACUUCCGCACGACUAACCGAGAAGAAAAGGACAAAAAAAGGAGAUCCUCACUACAGAUCCAGCAGAUCACUGUAGAUUCACACGCAGUUGUAAGAAACAGUACAGAGGGAAAGAGAAAGAGUUUACCGGUUCCUUCCAGCGGUAACAUCCUGUGCAACAGUAUCAGCCGCAGGACGCCGAGUGGAUACAGUGAAGGUUACCAGGCCGGAGCCGGGGCUGCCCCCUGCUGCCCGUCCAAACACACACCCCCUCCUCUCUCCUGCCCCCUUCCCCACCUCGACCCCAGGCAGCACUAAUCUGCUCUCCGUCUGUCCAAUGCCGUCACGUCAGGAGUGGCAGACGGAUGACUGCACACAGUAUGUGGCCUUUCGGGACGGGCUCUUUUCACUCCGCAUCAUUUUUUUAGAGUCGUCCCAGUUGUUGCAAAAGCAACGAUGACUCCGGCUGAAUGCAGGGUCACAGUCCACGGUGCAGGCGGACCCCAGUUCCCGGCCAUGCCCCCCACUGAAGGGCGUCCAGAUGGUUUCCAGCUUCGGGCUAUUACAAAACAAGCUGCCGUGAACGUUCGCGCGAGUUUGUGUGUUUCUCUGCUGCAAAUGCCCCGAAGUGUAUUUGCUGAUGGUCGUGGCGUGUUUACUUUUUUAAGAAACAGCCAAACUGCUCGGGGUGGCUGCGGCGUUCUCCGUCCCUGCUGUGUCGCCGUCGCUGUUGUCCCUGGGUUUAUUUCGGCCAUUCGGACGGUGUGCGGUGAUACCCUCCUGCGCUCUUCCUCGGCGUUGCCCUGGUGCCGCUGGGGGUUGUUUCUUCUGAUCACUUGCUGAUCGGACUGCGGGCUGUUCUGUUGCUGAGUUUUGAGAGUUUGUUAUAUAUUCUGGAUUUAUAUUUAUUUUAAUAAAUAUAUAUAUUUAUAAACAUACAUAUUUAUAAAUGUGUUUAUAUUUAUAUAUUCUGGAUUCUUUUUUUUCAAGAUUUUUUUAUUUUUAUUUUUUUCACAGACAGAGAUCACAAGUAGGCAGAGAGGCAGGCAGAGAGAGAGGAGGAAGCAGGCUCCCCGCUGAGCAGAGAGCCCGAUGCGGGGCUCGAUCCCAGGACCCUGAGAUCAUGACCUGAGCCGAAGGCAGAGGCUUUAACCCCUGAGCCAACCAAGUGCCCCCAUGUUCUGGAUUCUUUGUUGGAUAGGUGGUUUUCAGAUAUUUCUCUCCCACUCUGUAGCUUAUUUUUCAUCCUCCUAACAGGGUUGGUUGGUUGGUUAGUUUACAGAUGAAAGGUUUUAAUUUUAAUAAAGUCCAAGUCACUUUUUUCCUAUUAUGAAUGGCACUUUCAUUGGCAAAACUAAGAACUUUUUGGUCAGCUCCAGAUCCUAAAGAUUCUGUUAUUUUUCUCUAAAAGCUAUAUCGUUUUAUAUUUUUUUGAGUCCACAAUCCAUUUUGAGUUAAUUUAGGUACAAGCCGUGAAACUUGGGGUCGGUUCCUCCUGCUGCGGCCGUCCUCCCUCCCCCCCCUUUCCGUCUGUCUGUCUGUCCAUCUGUCUGUCCGUGGUCUCUAAAUGCCGCUCCAGCGCUGUUAUUGAUUCUAUUUCCUCCGUGAAGUUUUCCAGCUUCGUCACGAAUCCAGCGGCACAGCUAGGAGGGCGUCUGCCCGUCGCACUGACCUGCGGAGCUGCGCCUUCGGCAAAACCACCGACGUUCAGUUGCUGUGAUUGUUUGAAAAGUGUUGGAAUUGGGGAGACUGAUUCCUCCCACUUUUUUCUUUUCAAAAUUGCCUUGGCUGUUCUAGUUCCUUUGUUUAUGCCUAUAAAUUUUUAGAAUAACCUUGUCCUCUGCCUACAGAAAUGUGGCUGGAAUUUUGAUAGGAAUUGUGGUAAAGCUGCGUGUCAGUUUCCCUUCCUUCCUUUCUAUCUAGGUUUGGUUAUUCUAGGGCUGGGGCGUGAGGGGCAGAGGGUGAAGGAGAGAAGCAGACUCCCCGCCGAGCACAGAGCCCAACGUGGGGCUUGAUCUCAGGACCGUGACUUGAGCAGAAAUCAGGAGUUGGUCCUCAGCCGACUUAGCCCCCGGCGCUGUGUGGCGGCUCCUCUAUGUUGACAAUCACAUCGCUGGUAAAUAGGGCCAGAGUUAGGUUUUCCUUUCUGAUCUGUCUGCCUUCUGCUGUGGACUAACUCGCGGGGCUCUGUGUUGGACGGGAGUGGUGAGCGUGGGCGCCCCGAUCUCUCCUGGGCGCGGCUCGUCCCUCACCACGGAAGAGAGCCUCAGCUGUAGUUUCGGUUGAUGUGCUUUAUCAGGUCGCAGAAAUUCUCUAUUCUUGUUUUUCAGAGGUUUUUUGUUUUGUUUUUUUAAAGUCAUGAAUGGGGGUUUUAUAAGUUUCUUAGGACUGCUAUUAAAAAAUUACCAAGUGGGACGCCUGGGUGGCUCAGCCGAUUGAGCGUCUGCCUCUGGCUCAGGUCAUGAUCCCAGGGUCCUGGGAUCGAGCCCCACAUGAGGCUCCCUGCUAGGUGGGAAGUUGGCUUCUCCUUCUCCCUGUGCCCCUUCCGCUAUGUGUGCUCUUUCUUGUGUGAAUCUCUCUCUUUCAUUCAAAUAAAUAAAUCUUAAAAAAAAAAAAAAACCCACCAACUGGGUGGCUUAAAACAGAAAUUUAUUCUCAUGGUUCUAAGUCCAAAAUUAAGGUGUCAGCAAGUCUACGUUCCCUCUGAAGCCCUGGGGGAGUCAUUCCUUCCCACUCUCUGGCUGCCGGCCACCAGGCCACCUGGGAGCGGUCUCCAGGGCUCCUCGUUUAUGGGGCGUCAUUCUAGUCCCGUCGUCACGUCGUCUUCCCUCUCUGUGUCUGUCCACAUUUCCUCUUUUCGGAAGGGCACAGUCAUACUGGAUCAGGACCUGCCCUAGUGGCUUUGUUUUAACUUGAUCACGUCUGUCAAAACACUCUUUCCAGUGAAGGUCACAUUCCAAGGUGCCUGCGGGUUAGGGCUGCAACGUAUCCUUUGGGGAGGACAUAAUGCAAUCUAUAACGGAUGCUGAAUUUUGUCUAAUGCUUUUUGUGAAUUGGGUGAUACGAUCAUGUGAUUUCUCUUCUUCAGCUGGUUAAUAUGGUGGACUACAGUGAUUGCUUUUUCAAAUAUGGAAACUGCUUUGUAUUCCUGAAAUAAACCCCACUUGGUCAUGGUGUAUAAUUAUUUUUAUAUAUUGCUAAAUUCUCUUGGUUAAUAAUUUUUAAUUCCAAUACUUUGUUAAGGAUUUUUGCUUUUUUUUUCAUGAAGGGUAUUGAUCUAUAGUUUUUUUGGUUUUGUACUGUUUUGGGUUUUAGUAUUAUGGUGGUACUACCUACCUAAAAUGGAUUGGGAAAUGUUUCCUCCCCUGAGAAGAACUGUGUAGAACUGAUAUUAAUUUUUCUUAGAUUGUUUAGUAGAACUCUCUAGUGAAACUGCCCGGGCUUGGAUAUUUCUUUUUUGGAAGGCUUUUAAUUAUGAGUUCAAUUUCUUCAACAGUUAAGGGGCUAUUCCAGUGACCGAUUUCAGAUUGGGUGAGUUGUGAGAGUUGUGAAUCCUUGAGGAAGGGCUACGUCUUGCGAAGCUGUCUAACUUUGCGUCUGACAUUGGUACGUGUAGUUGCGUGUGUAGAGGUCUUUGGUGUCUGUGGGGUCUGCGGGGACAUCGGUCCGGUUCUGUCCCUGCUGUUGGUGAUUUGUGUUUUCUCUUCUUCUUUCAGCCAGUCUAGCCGGGUGUUGUUCAUGUUGUUGACUCUACAAACAGCCAGUUCUUUGUUUCACUGAUUUUUCUUUAUUGUUUUUCCGUUUCCAAUCUCAUUGGUUUCUGCUUUUCUUAGUUACUUGCUUCCUUUGCUCUGUUUUCCUUGGGUUUUGUCUGCUUCUCCUCCUUUGUUUCUUCUUCAGGGUCAGAGCUGAGGGCAUUAAUUUCUAAACCUCCUUAUUUUGUAAUAGAAGCUUUUUUUUUUUUAAGAUUUUAUUUAUUUAUUGGACAGAGAUCACAAGCAGGCAGAGAGGCAGGCAGAGAGAGAGAGAGAGGUAAGCAGGUUCCCCACUGAGCAGAGAGCCCGAUGCGGGGCUCGAUCCCAGGACCCUGAGAUCAUGACCCGAGCCGAAGGCAGCGGCUUUAACCCACUGAGCCACCCAGGCGCCCCUGUAAUAGAGGCUUUUGAUGCUAUGAAUUUCUCUUUAGGUGAUGCUUUACCUGUAUCCCGUAAAUCUUAAUAUUAUUUCUCAUUUUGUGUUGUGUUUUCAUUUUCGUUCAGUUCAAAAUAUUUUCUAGUUUUCCUUGUAAUUUCUUCCUUCUGUGGGUUGUUUUGAAGUGUGUUACUUCGUUUCCAGAUAUUUGGAAAUUGCCACAUAUUUUCUGCUGUUGAUUUCUGGUUUAAUUCUACUGUGGCAAGACAGCAUACUACAUAUGCCUUGGAUUCUUUUAUUGUAACUCAUUUCACGGCCCAGGAUAGAGCUUUCUUGGUUCAUGUUCUGUGGGUGCUUGAAGAGGUUCAAGUUCUGCUGUUGCGUGGAGUGUCCUUGAUUGGAUCACACUGGUUAAUAGCAUCAUUGAGUUCUUCUGUGUCCUUUUCUAAUUUUUUUAAAAAAGUUAUUUAUUGAUUUAUUUGACAACAGAGAUCACAAGUAGGCAGAGAGAGAGAGAGAGAGAGAGGAGAGACAGGCUCCCCGCUGAGCAGAGAGCCCAGUGCGGAGAGCCCAGG